This 9767-nucleotide long non-coding RNA is filed under the name Lactuca sativa (garden lettuce). Its description in RNAcentral is "long non-coding RNA (LSAT_LNC002746)". The record is from RNAcentral. Lineage: Eukaryota; Viridiplantae; Streptophyta; Magnoliopsida; Asterales; Asteraceae.
ACACAUGAUAAUGUGUGUAAAUGCAAUGAAACAAAAAUAAAAGAGUGUAUCACACAUUAGAUUAACAAGGAAUAUUUACCAAGAUUUUUGGAAACUAACUUGAAAAAAAUGCUUGGAAGGUAAAACUUGAUCUUUAGAGAAAACAACGAUGUAAAAAAUGUUAAACUGAUGAAAUUCGAAGGGUGGUUGGAGGAGUUCUUGGAACGAGUUAAAUAGAGGGAAAAUAGGGUAGGGUGAAGUGACAUGUGCGUUGAACCGGGUAAUAUAUCAUGUUGGGAAAAGGAUCCGUCAAUCAAGUGACAUGAACCACCGAAAUGCCAAUGCUUUGGGGUCUUAAUCAGUUGACCUUUAAUGACUCAUGUGAUGUUUUUGCUGACUUGCUGACUUUGUUUGACUUUCCUUGACUAAAACUGACGAUUGUCACAACUAGGGUCACCCCGGAAGAAGAACACAUCCCGAUUGGAGCUUAUGUCAGAGCACAAAGAGUCGUACCAGACACCCCACUGAAUCCAUCGGAAAAUAUGAUCACCAGAAAAGUGUUGGAUGAAGAGAUUGCUCAGGACGUACAAGCUACCUUGCCAAAUGUAAUUGCUUAUACAUAUGAUGUAAUAUUGGGUGAGUAUGUUGGUGACAUGGACGGAGAUGAGGAAUACUAUGAGUAUAGUACACCAAUUUCGAACAAUGACCCAAGUAUUAUACAACACUCAAGGCAUAAUAACAACAGUGUUUGGAAUGAUUGCAGUUAAAAGAAACUUAUGAAUUAUAGGCCAUCCGCAUUUAAUAAAGAAAUUGAUCCCAUCCUGUGGUCAAUGUGGAUCACGGAGACUGAGGGAACAUUUUAAACUAGCAAGUGUGCGGAUUAGGACAAGAUGAUUUAUGCUGCAAUAUUUUUAAAAAGGGAGGCUAUACAUUAGUGGGUCAUAGUGAAAUAAGUUAGGGUCAUGAGGUGGUCAAGAACAUGUCGUGGUAAAUUAAGUAGUUGGUCGACAAAUUCUUGAGAAUAGAACAAGGGAAUAUGACAAUGAGAGAGUACACUACUAAGUUCAUGGAGAAAGAUAGUUUUGUUAACUUUUAUGUAUCUAUAGAAGAAAGAAGGGUAGAACGCUAUAUUUGGGGAAUAAGAACAAUUGUUCGUUAAUUUGUGGAAAUUUAGAAAGCAGGUACUUUCUAGUGUGCGGUAGAUGUGGCUGAAGGUCGCAAACGUGAACAUAAUCAUCAGGGUGAAGAAAGGGCUUUGGGAAAAAUAAAAUGGAAUGGUAGGAAUAAUGAUUCCAAGAAAAGCAAGAGUUCAGCUCAAGAACUUAUGGUAGAUCAAGGGUCCGGAGUAGAACAAUGUACUAUAUGCAAAAGACUCCAUAAAAUGAGCGUAAUAUGAGGAAUAGAACUUGUUAUAAAUGUGUAAAGAUAGGACAUAUCGCUCUAGAUUGUAAAAUAGGGAAUGUAUGUUAUGGGUGUAGGUUCCCCGAUCAUAUCAGGCCAAACUAUCCUCAUAACAAGGUUAACAAUUACCAANGGAAAGGGAAUCGGUUGGGAGAUGUGAUGACAUAAAUGAUAAGAGUAAAAGGCAAGGCUUUCCACAUGACAGCUCAAUAAGCUCAGAAAACAUAUGUAACUGAUUGUAUAUUAACAAAAGUUUUCUUGUGUUUAACUUGUAUUCCCUCCCCCCCACCUUAAACAUAGGAAAAAGGUCUUGAAAAAUGUAGGGGUAUAAACUCACCUUGAAUGAGUUUGUGGUUGUAUAGAGAGAUGAUGGUGAAGAUCUUCAAGUAAAAAACACUUGAAACUGGAAGAAGACACUUUGAAGACUGUAUUAUCCUAUGAGUUUUAACACAUGAUAAUGUNNNNNNNNNNNNNNNNNNNNNNNNNNNNNNNNNNNNNNNNNNNNNNNNNNNNNNNNNNNNNNNNNNNNNNNNNNNNNNNNNNNNNNNNNNNNNNNNNNNNGUUGCAUGUACACUUAGGAAGUGUUAGAAUGCUCAAACUCCAACAAAAGGAUCCAUCAAUAAAGUGACAUGAACCACCGAAAUCCCAAUGCUUUGGGGUCUUAAUCAGUUGACCUUUAAUGACUCGUGUGAUGUUUUUGCUGACUUGCUGACUUUGUUUGACUUUCCUUGACUAAAACUGACGAUUGUCACAACUAGGGUCACCCNAGAACAACACAUCCCGAUUGGAGCUUAUGUCAGAGCACAAAGAGUCAUACCAGACACCCCACUGAAUCCAUCAGAAAAUAUGAUCACCAGAGAAGUUUUUGAUGAAUAGAUUGCUCUGGACGUACAAGCUACCUUUGCAAAUGUAAUUGCUUAUACAUAUGAUGUAAUAUUGGGUGAGUAUGUUGGUGAUAUGGACGGAGAUGAGGAAUACUACGAGUAUAGUACACCAAUUUCGAACCAUGACCCAAGUAUUAUACAACACUCAAGGCAUAAUAACAACAGUGUUUGGAAUGAUUGCAGUUAAAAGACACUUAUGAAUUAUAGGCCAUCCGCAUUUAAUAAAGAAAUUGAUCCCAUCCUGUGGUCAAUGUGGAUCACGGAGACUGAGGGAACAUUUUAUACUAGCAAGUGUGCGGAUGAGGACAAGAUGAUUUAUGCUGCCAUAUUUUUAAAAAGGGAGGCUAUACAUUAGUGGGUCAUAGUGAAAGAAGUUAGGGUCACGAGGUGGUCAAGAAAAUGCCGUGGGAAAUUAAGUAGUUGGAGGACGAAUUCUUGAGAAUAGAACAAGGGAAUAUGACAAUGAGAGAGUACACUACUAAGUUCAUGGAGAAAGAUAGUUUUGUUAACUUUUAUGUAUCUAUAGAAGAAAGAAGCGUAGAACACUAUAUUUGGGGAAUAAGAACAAUUGUUCGUUAAUUUGUGGAAAUUUAGAAAGCAGGUACUUUAUAGUGUGCGGUAGAUGUGGCUGAAGGUCACAAACGUGAACAUAAUCAUCAGGGUGAAAAAAGGGCUUUGGGAAAAAUAAAAUGGAAGGGUAGGAAUAAUGAUUCCAAGAAAAGCAAGAGUUCAGCUCAAGUAGUUAUAGUAGAUCAAGGGUCCGGAGUAGAACAAUGUACUAUAUGCAAAAGACUCCAUAAAAUGAGCGUAAUAUGAGGAAUAGAACUUGUUAUAAAUGUGCAAAGAUAGGACAUAUCGGUCUAGAUUGUAAAAUAGGGAACGUAUGAUAUGGUGUAGGUUCCCCGAUCAUAUCAGGCCAAACUAUCCUCGUAACAAGGUUAAUAAUUACCAACACAUGGUGGUAGGGAAACGGAAUCGGUUGGGAGAUNNNNNNNNNNNNNNNNNNNNNNNNNNNNNNNNNNNNNNNNNNNNNNNNNNNNNNNNNNNNNNNNNNNNNNNNNNNNNNNNNNNNNNNNNNNNNNNNNNNNCUUUCCUUGACUAAAACUGACGAUUGUCACAACUAGGGUCACCCCAGAAGAACAACACAUCCCGAUUGGAGCUUAUGUCAGAGCACAAAGAGUCGUACCAGACACCCCACUGAAUACAUCAGAAAAUAUGAUCACCAGAAAAGUGUUGAAUGAAGAGAUUGCUCAGGACGUACAAGCUACCUUGCCAAAUGUAAUUGCUUAUACAUAUGAUGUAAUAUUGGGUGAGUCUGUUGGUCACAUAGACAGAGAUGAGGAAUACUACGAGUAUAGUACACCAAUUUCGAACCAUGACCCAAGUAUUAUACAACACUCAAGGCAUAAUAACAAUAGUGUUUGGAAUGAUUGCAGUUAAAAUACACUUAUGAAUUAUAGGCCAUCCGCAUUUAAUAAAGAAAUUGAUCCCAUCCUGUGGUCAAUGUGGAUCACGGAGACUGAGGGAACUUUUUAUACUAGUAAAUGUGCGGAUGAGGACAAGAUGAUUUAUGCUGCCAUAUUUUUAAAAAGGGAGGCUAUACAUUAGAGGGUCAUGGUGAAAGAAGUUAGGGUCAUGAGGUGGUCAAGAAGAUGUCUUGGGAAAUUAAGCAGUUAGAGGAAGAAUUCUUGAGAUUAGAACAAGGGAAUAUGAAAAUGAGAGAGUACACUACUAAGUUCAUGGAGAAAGAUAGUCUUGUUAACGUUUAUGUAUCUAUAGAAGAAAGAAGGGUAGAAUGCUAUAUUUGGGGAAUAAGAAGAAUUGUUCGUUAAUUUGUGGAAAUUUAGAAAGCAGGUACUGUCUAGUGUGUGGUAGAUGUGGCUGAAGCUCGCAAACGUGAACAUAAUCAUCAGGGUGAAAAAAGGUCUUUGGGAAAAAUAAAAUGGAAUGGUAGGAAUAAUGAUUCCAAGAAAAGCAAGAGUUCUGCUCAAGAACUUAUGGUAGAUCAAGGGUCCAGAGCAGAUCAAUGUACUAUAUGCAAAAGACUCCAUAAAAUGAGCGUAAUAUGAGGAAUAGAACUUGUUAUAAAUGUGUAAAGAUAGGACAUAUCCCUCUAGAUUGUAAAAUAGGUAAAGUAUGUUAUGGGUGUAGGUUCCCCGAUCAUAACAGGCCAAACUAUCCCCGUCACAAGGUUAACAAUUACCAACACAUGGUUGUAGGGAAAGGGAAUCGGUUGGGAGAUGUGAGGGCAUAAAUGACAAGAUUAAAAGGCAACGCUUUCCACAUGGCAGCUCAUUAAGCUCAGGAAAACAUAUGUAACUGAUUGUAUAUUAACAAAAGUUUUCUUGUGUUAACUUGUAUCCCCCCCCACCUUAAACACAGGAAAACGGUCAUGAAAAAUGUAGGGGCAUAAACUCACCUUGUAUGAGUUUGUGGUUGUAUAAAGAGGUGAUGGCGAAGAUCUUCAAGUCAAAAACACUUGAAAGUGGUAGAAAACUCUUUGAUGAUUGUGUUAUCCUAUGAGUUUUAACACAUGAUAAUGUGUGUAAAUGCGAUGAAACUAAAACAAAAGAGUGUAUCACACAUUAGAUUAACAAGGAAUAUUUACCAACAUUUCUGGAAACUAACUUGAAAAAAAUGCUUGGAAGGUAGAACUUCAUCUUUAAAGAAAACAAUGAUGUAGAAAAUGUUGAACUGAUGAAAUUCAAAGGGUGGUUGGAGGAGUUGUUGGAAAGAGUUAAAUAGUGGGAAAAUAGGGUAGGGUGAAGUGACAUGUGCGUUGAACCGAGUAAUAUAUCAUGUUGGGAAAAGGAUCCAUCAAUCAAGUGAAAUGAACCACCGAAAAUCCCAAUGCUUUGCGGUCUUAAUCAGUUGACCUUUAAUGACUCGUGUGAUGUUUUUGCUGACUUGCUGACUUUGUUCGACUUUCCUUGACCAAAACUGACGAUUGUCACAACUAGGGUCACCCCGGAAGAAGAACACAUCCUGAUUGGAGCUUAUGACAGAGCACAAAGAGUCGUACCAGACACCCCACUGAAUCCAUCGGAAAAUAUGAUCACCAGAGAAGUUUUGGAUGAAUACAUUGCUCAGGACUUACAAGCUACCUUGCCAAAUGAAAUUGCUUAUACAUAUGAUGUAAUAUUGGUGAGUAUGUUGGUGACAUGGAUGGAGAUGAGGAAUACUAUGAGUAUAGUACACCAAUUUGGAACCAUUACCCAAGUUUUAUACAACACUCAAGGCAUCAUAACAACAGUGUUUGUAAAGAUUGUAGUUACAAGACAUUUAUGAAUUAUAGGCCAUCCGCAUUUAAUAACGAAAUUGAUCCCAUACUGUGGUCAAUGUGGAUCACGGAGACUGAGGGAACAUUUUAAACUAGCAAAUGUGCGGAUGAGGACAAGAUGAUUUAUGCUGCCAUAUUUUUAAAAAGGGAGGCUAUACAUUAGUGGGUCAUGGUGAAAGAAGUUAGGGUCAUGAGGUGGUCAAGAAGAUGUCUUGGGAAAUUAAGCAGUUAGAGGAAGAAUUCCUGAGAUUAGAAUAAGGGAAUAUGACAAUGAGAGAGUACACUACUAAGUUCAUGGAGAAACAUAGUCUUGUUAAAUUUUAUGUAUCUAUAGAAGAAAGAAGGGUAGAACGAUAUAUUUGGGGAAUAUGAACAAUUGUUCGUUAAUUUGAGGAAAUUUAGAAAGCAGGUACUUUCUAGUGUGCGGUAGACGUUGCUAAAGGUCGCAAACGUGAACAUAAUCAUCAGGGUGAAAAAACGUCAUUGAGAAAAAUAAAAUGGAAUGGUAGGAAUAAUGAUUCCAAGAAAAGCAAGAGUUCAGCUCAAGAAUUUAUGGUAGAUCAAGGGUCCAGAGCAGAACAAUGUACUAUAUGCAAAAGACGCCAUAAAAUGAGCGUAAUAUGAGGAAUAGAACUUGUUAUAAAUGUGUAAAGAUAGGACAUAUCCCUCUAGAUUGUAAAAUAAGGAAAGUAUGUUAUGGGUGUAGGUUCCCCGAUCAUAUCAGGCUAAACUAUCACCGUAACAAGAUUAACAAUUACCAACACAUGGUGGUAGGGAAAGGGAAUCGGUUGGGAGAUGUGAGGGCAUAAAUGACAAGAGUAAAAGGCAAGGCUUUCCACAUGACAGCUCAUUAAGCUCAGGAAAACAUAUGUAACUGAUUGUAUAUUAACAAAAGUUUUCUUGUGUUUAACUUGUAUCCCCCCCACACCUUAAAUACAAGAAAAAGGUCUUGAAAAAUGUAUGGGCAUACACUCACCUUGAAUGAGUUUGUGGUUGUAUAGAGAGGUGCGGAUGAGUACAAGAUGAUUUAUGCUGCAAUAUUUUUAAAAAGGGAGGCUAUACAUUAGUGGGUCAUGGUGAAAGAAUUCGGGGUCAUGAGGUGGUCAAGAACAUGUCGUGGGAAAUUAAGCAGUUGGAGUAAGAAUUCUUGAGAUUAGAACAAGGGAAUAUGACAAUGAGAGAGUACACUACUAAGUUCACGGAGAAAGAUAGUUUUGUUAACUGUUAUGUAUCUAUAGAAGAAAGAAGGGUAGAACGCUAUAUUUGGGGAAUAAGAACAAUUGUUCGUUAAUUUGUGGAAAUUUAGACAACAGGUACUUUCUAGCGUGCGGUAGAUGUGGCUGAAGGUCGCAAACAUGAACAUAAUCAUCACGGUGAAAAAAGGGCUUUGGGAAAAAUAAAAUAGAAUGGUAGGAAUAAUGAUUCCAAGAAAAGCAAGAGUUCACCUCAAGAACUUAUGGUAGAUCAAGGGUCCGGAGUAGAACAAUGUACUAUAUGCAAAAGAUUCCAUAAAAUGAGCGUAAUAUGAGGAAUAGAACUUGUUAUAAAUGUGAAAAGAUAGGACAUAUUGCUCUAGAUUGUAAAAUAGGGAAAGUAUGUUAUGGGUGUAGGUUCCCCGAUCAUAUCAGGCCAAACUAUCCCCGUAACAAGGUUAACAAUUACAGACACAUGGUGGUAGGGAAAGGGAAUCGGUUGGGAGAUGUGAGAGCAUAAAUGACAAGAGUAAAAGGCAAGGCUUUCCACAUGACAGCUCAAUAAGCUCAGGAAAAUAUAUGUAACUGAUUGUAUAUUAGCAAAAGUUUUCUUGUGUUAGACUUGUAUCCCCCCCCCCCACACACACUUCUUAAACACAGGAAAAAGGUCUUCAAAAAUGUAGGGGUAUGAACUCACCUUGAAUGAGUUUGUAGUUGUAAAGAGAGGUGAUGGCGAAGAUCUUCAAGUCAAAAACACUUGAAAGUGGUAGAAAACUCUUUGAAGAUUGUAUUAUCCUAUGAGUUUUAACAUAUGAUAAUGUGUGUAAAUACGAUGAAACUAAAAUAAAAGAGUGUAUCACACAUUACAUUAACAAGGAAUAUUUUCCAAGAUUUCUGGAACUAACUUGAAAAAAAUGCUUGGAAGGUAGAGCUUGAUCUUUAGAGAAAACAAGGAUAUAGAUAAUGUUGAACUGAUGAAAUUCGAAGGGUGGUUGGAGGAGUUCUUGGAACGAUUUAAAUAGAGCGAAUAUAAGGUAGGGUGAAGUGACAUGUGCGUUGAAUCGGGUAAUAUAUCAUGUUGGGAAAAGGAUCCAUCAAUCAAGUGACAUGAACCACCGAAAUCACAAUGAUUUGGUGUCUUAAUCAGUUGACCUUUAAUGACCCAAGUGAUGUUUUUGCUGACUUGCUGACUUUGUUUGACUUUCCUUGACCAAAACUGAUCAUAGUCACAACUAGGGUCACCCCGGAAGGAGAACAUAUCACGAUUGGAGCUUAUGUCAGAGCACAAAGAGUCGAACAAAACACCCCACUGAAUCCAUCGGAAAAUAUGAUCACCAGAUAAGUGUUGGUUGAAGAGAUUGCUCAGGACGUACAAGCUACCUUGCCAAAUAUACUUGCUUAUACAUAUGAUGUAAUAUUGGGUGAGUAUGUUUCUGACAUGGACGGAGAUGAGGAAUACUACGAGUAUAGUACACCAAUUUCGAACCAAGACCCAAGUAUUAUACAACACUCAAGGCAUAAUAACAACAGUGAUUGGAAAGAUUGUAGUUACAAGAGAUUUAUGAAUUAUAGGCCAUCUGCAUUUAAUAAAGAAAUUGAUCCCAUCUUGUGGUCAAUGUGGACCACAGAGACCGAGGGAACAUUUUGUACUAGCAAGUGUGCGGAUGAGGACAAGAUGAUUUAUGCUGCAAUAUUUUUAAAAAAGGGAGCCUAUACAUUAGUGGGUCAUGGUUAAAGAAGUUAGGGUCAUGAGGUGGUCAAGAAGAUGUCAUGGGAAAUUAAGCAGUUGGAGGAAGAAUUCUUGAGAUUAGAACAAGGGAAUAUGACAUUGAGAGAGUACACUACUAAGUUCUUAGAGAAAGAUAGUUUUGUUAACUUUUAUGUAUCUAAAGAAGAAAGAAGGGUAGAAUGAUAUAUUUAGGGAAUAAGAACAAUUGUUCAUUAAUUUGUGGAAAUUUAGAAAGUAGGUACUUUCCAGUGUGCGGUAGAUGUGGCUGAAUGUCUCAAACAUGAACAUAAUCAUUAGGGUGAAAAAAGGACUUUGGGAAAAAUAAAAUGGAAUGGUACGAAUAAUGGUUCCUAGAAAAGCAAGAGUUCAGCUCAAGAACGGAUGGUAGAUCAAGGCUCCUGAGUAGAACAAUGUACUAUAUGCAAAAGAUUCUAUAAAAUGAACGUUAUAUGAUGAAUAUAACUUGUUAUAAAUGUGCAAAGAUAGGACAUAUUGCUCUAGAUUGUAAAAUAGGGAAAGUAUGUUAUGGGUGUAGGUUCCCCGAUCAUAUCGGCCCAAACUAUCCCCAUAACAAGGUUAACAAUUACCAACACAUGGUGGUAGGGAAAGGGAAUCGGUUGGGAGAUGUGAGGGCAUAAAUGAGAAGAGUAAAAGUCAAGGCUUUCCACAUGACAGCUCAAUAAGCUCAGGAAAACAUAUGUAACUGAUUGUAUAUUAACAAAAGUUUUCUUGUCUUUAACUUGUAUCCCCCCCCCCCCACACCUUAAACAUUGGAAAAAGGUCUUGAAAAAUGUACGGGUAUAAACUCACCUUGAAUGAGUUUGUGGUUGUUUAGAGAGGUGAUGGCAAAGAUCUUCAAGUCAAAAACACUUAAAAGUGGUAGAAAACCCUUUGAAGAUUGUAUUAUCCUAUGAGUUUUAACACAUGAUAAUGUGUGUAAAUGCGAUGAAACUAAAAUAAAAGAGUGUAUCACACAUUAGUUAACAAGGAAUAUUUACCAAGAUUUCUGGAAACUAACUUGAAAAAAAAUGCUUGGAAGGUAGAACUUGAUCUUUAGAGAAAACAACGACGUAGAAAAUGUUGAACUGAUGAAAUUCGAAGGGUGGUUGGAGGAGUUCUUGGAACGAGGUAAAUAGAGGGAAAAUAGGGUAGGGUGAAGUGACAUGUGCGUUGAACCGGGUAAUAUAUCAUGUUGGGAAAAGGAUCCAUCAAUCAAGUGACAUGAACCACCGAAAUCCCAAUGCUUUGGGGUCUUAAUCAGUUGACCUUUAAUGACUCGUGUGAUGUCUUUGCUGACUUGC